RNAcentral lists this ribosomal RNA (465 nucleotides) under Vreelandella stevensii. RNAcentral describes it as "partial 16S ribosomal RNA". It matches the Rfam family "Bacterial small subunit ribosomal RNA", at positions 338 to 795 of the family's 1533-position model. The record is from RNAcentral. Lineage: Bacteria; Pseudomonadati; Pseudomonadota; Gammaproteobacteria; Oceanospirillales; Halomonadaceae.
CCUACGGGUGGCAGCAGUGGGGAAUAUUGGACAAUGGGGGCAACCCUGAUCCAGCCAUGCCGCGUGUGUGAAGAAGGCCCUCGGGUUGUAAAGCACUUUCAGUGAGGAAGAACGCCUGGUGGUUAAUACCCAUCAGGAAAGACAUCACUCACAGAAGAAGCACCGGCUAACUCCGUGCCAGCAGCCGCGGUAAUACGGAGGGUGCGAGCGUUAAUCGGAAUUACUGGGCGUAAAGCGCGCGUAGGUGGCUUGAUAAGCCGGUUGUGAAAGCCCCGGGCUGAACCUGGGAACGGCAUCCGGAACUGGCAAGCUAGAGUGCAGGAGAGGAAGGUAGAAUUCCCGGUGUAGCGGUGAAAUGCGUAGAGAUCGGGAGGAAUACCAGUGGCGAAGGCGGCCUUCUGGACUGACACUGACACUGAGGUGCGAAAGCGUGGGUAGCAAACAGGAUUAGAUACCCCGGUAGUC